UACAGAGGGGGCAAGCGUUAUUCGGAAUUAUUGGGCGUAAAGGGCGCGUAGGCGGCUUGGCAAGUGACGGGUGAAAUCCCUCGGCUUAACCGAGGAACUGCCUGUCAGACUGCUUUGCUUGAGUCCGGGAGAGGUGAGUGGAAUUCCUGGUGUAGCGGUGAAAUGCGCAGAUAUCAGGAGGAACACCGAUGGCGAAGGCAGCUCGCUGGGACGGUACUGACGCUGGGGCGCGAAAGCGUGGGGAGCAAACAGG
RNAcentral lists this ribosomal RNA (253 nucleotides) under uncultured bacterium. Its description in RNAcentral is "partial 16S ribosomal RNA". It matches the Rfam family "Bacterial small subunit ribosomal RNA", at positions 524 to 776 of the family's 1533-position model. The record is from RNAcentral.